This 497-nucleotide ribosomal RNA is filed under the name uncultured bacterium. Its description in RNAcentral is "partial 16S ribosomal RNA". It matches the Rfam family "Bacterial small subunit ribosomal RNA", at positions 28 to 507 of the family's 1533-position model. The record is from RNAcentral.
GAUGAACGCUGGCGGCGUGCCUAAUACAUGCAAGUCGAGCGAACAGAUAAGGAGCUUGCUCCUUUGACGUUAGCGGCGGACGGGUGAGUAACACGUGGGUAACCUACCUAUAAGACUGAGAUAACUUCGGGAAACCGGAGCUAAUACCGGAUAACAUUUGGAACCGCAUGGUUCUAAAGUGAAAGAUGGUUUUGCUGUCACUUAUAGAUGGACCCGCGCCGUAUUAGCUAGUUGGUAAGGUAACGGCUUACCAAGGCAACGAUGCGUAGCCGACCUGAGAGGGUGAUCGGCCACACUGGAACUGAGACACGGUCCAGACUCCUACGGGAGGCAGCAGUAGGGAAUCUUCCGCAAUGGGCGAAAGCCUGACGGAGCAACGCCGCGUGAGUGAUGAAGGGUUUCGGCUCGUAAAACUCUGUUAUUAGGGAAGAACAAACGUGUAAGUAACUGUGCACGUCUUGACGGUACCUAAUCAGAAAGCCACGGCUAACUACGUG